AUUAGAUUAGCUAGUUGGUGGAGUAAUAGCCUACCAAGGCAAUGAUCUAUAGCUGAUCUGAGAGGAUGAUCAGCCACACUGGAACUGAGAUACGGUCCAGACUCCUACGGGAGGCAGCAGUGGGGAAUAUUGGACAAUGGGCGAAAGCCUGAUCCAGCUAUGCCGCAUGAGUGAAGAAGGCCUUUGGGUUGUAAAGCUCUUUUAGUGAAGAAGAUAAUGACGGUACUCACAGAAGAAGUCCUGGCUAACUCCGUGCCAGCAGCCGCGGUAAUACGGAGAGGGCUAGCGUUAUUCGGAAUUAUUGGGCGUAAAGGGCGCGUAGGCUGAUUAAUAAGUUAAAAGUGAAAUCCCGAGGCUUAACCUUGGAAUUGCUUUUAAAACUAUUAAUCUAGAGAUUGAAAGAGGAUAGAGGAAUUCCUGAUGUAGAGGUAAAAUUCGUAAAUAUUAGGAGGAACACCAGUGGCGAAGGCGUCUAUCUGGUUCAAAUCUGACGCUGAGGCGCGAAGGCGUGGGGAGCAAACAGGAUUAGAUACCCUGGUAGUCCACGCUAUAAACGAU
Molecule: ribosomal RNA, 558 nt
Filed under: Wolbachia endosymbiont of Bemisia tabaci
Lineage: Bacteria; Pseudomonadati; Pseudomonadota; Alphaproteobacteria; Rickettsiales; Anaplasmataceae
Description: bacterial SSU rRNA
Rfam family: Bacterial small subunit ribosomal RNA
Source: RNAcentral